Molecule: non-coding RNA, 23 nt
Filed under: Arabidopsis thaliana (thale cress)
Lineage: Eukaryota; Viridiplantae; Streptophyta; Magnoliopsida; Brassicales; Brassicaceae
Source: RNAcentral
AAACCGAAACCAACUGCUGUGGG